This 253-nucleotide ribosomal RNA is filed under the name uncultured bacterium. RNAcentral's name for it is "partial 16S ribosomal RNA". It matches the Rfam family "Bacterial small subunit ribosomal RNA", at positions 524 to 776 of the family's 1533-position model. The record is from RNAcentral.
UACGUAGGGUGCAAGCGUUGCCCGGAUUUAUUGGGCGUAAAGGGCGCGUAGGCGGCUCGGCACGUCCGUUGUGAAAUCGCCCGGCUCAACUGGGCGGGGUCAGCGGAUACGGUCGAGCUUGAGCAAGCUAGGGGGCAAUGGAAUUCCCGGUGUAGCGGUGGAAUGCGCAGAUAUCAGGAGGAACACCAAUAGCGAAGGCAGCUCGCUGGGACGUUACUGACACUGAGGCGCGAAAGCGUGGGGAGCGAACAGG